Long non-coding RNA from Oreochromis niloticus (Nile tilapia), 964 nucleotides. RefSeq lists it as uncharacterized. The record is from RefSeq and is a predicted model, not a curated record. The transcript is spliced from 3 exons. Lineage: Eukaryota; Metazoa; Chordata; Actinopteri; Cichliformes; Cichlidae.
GAUCAUGUCAGAAGUUUCUGUCUUUACUGUAGUGCUCUGUACGCUCCUCUGUACUGGACACGCUCAAGAUGCUGUGCUAACUAUUGAACCCAGCUGGUCCAGUUUAUUUUUCAUCGGAGAGUUUGUUACCUUCAAAUGUGACAUGAAUGAAGGAAAAGACACUGACUGGGAAUACAAAAUCAACAAGGAUGGUCAAGACUUUUUCUCCUACAGGAUAAACAAAGACUUCAAAUUAAAAAUGAGAUCUACAGGUGACAGUGGUGAAUAUCAGUGCUUUGGUCUCAGGAUGAGCUCACGUGAUACAAAGAAAAGUAAUACUCUCUCUAUAACUGUAUUAGCAGAUAAACCCAGGGCCACACUGACAGCAGGAACAACAAUCAUACCAGUAGGGGGCAGUGUGACACUGACCUGCUCUGUGCAGAGCUCUGAUGGAUGGAAAUAUGAGUGGUUCAGAAACCUAAUGACCUAUGAAUUUCCAAACAGAGAUCAACAAAACAGAGAUAUCAGAGUAUAUCACGGAGGAAUCUACAGCUGCAGAGGAACAAGAGGAAACCCAAUUUACUACACUGAUAUCAGUGAUGAUGUCACCAUUGAUAUAACCUGUGAGUUCAGUAAUUUAGUUUGAAAUAUACAUUCACUCAUGAUUAUCAAACAUACAAUGUUAAGUUUUCUGUGUUGAUUUCAUGUUUCUAUUUGUAUCUCAACUGUUAAUAUGUGUAAACAGUUUCCAUUAAAGUUGUUGUAAAACAACAACCCAACUGGCCUCAGUUAUUCAGAGGUGAGAUGAUCACUCUGACAUGUGAGGUGCAGGAAGGAGGUGAAACCACUGAGUGGUUUUCUGAAUGGAGAGGACCCGGGACACCCACACAGCUGAUACCCUAUAAUGUUCUGAGAUUUGUAGUUUCUGAGUACAGCAGUGGAGACUACAUGUGUAAGAGUCGACGCGGUUAUCACCGAUAUUCUU